GACGAACGCUGGCGGCGUGCUUAACACAUGCAAGUCGAACGGAAAGGCCCUGCUUUCGUGGGGUGCCAGCGUGGCGAACGGGUGAGUAACAUAUGAAUAACCUGCCCUUGACUUUGGGAUAACUUCAAGAAACUGGGGCUACUACCGGAUAGGAGCUCCUGCUGGAUGGUGGGCGUUGGAAAGUUUCGGCGGUUGGGGAUGUACUCGGGGCUUACCAGCUUGUUGGUGGGGUAUUGGCUUACCCAGGCAUCGGUGGCUAGUCGGCCUGAGUGGGGGGCCGGGCACAAGGGGACUAAGGUAGGGCGCAGACGCGAACAGGGGGCAGCGGUAGGGAGUAUGGUACAGUGGGCGGGAGCCUGAGACAACGACGCGGCGUGCGGGAUGACGGCCAUCGUGUUGGAAACGGCUUUCAGCUGUGACGAAGCGUGAUUGACGGUAAUGGGAAAAGAAGCACCGGCUAACUUCGUG
Molecule: ribosomal RNA, 468 nt
Filed under: uncultured bacterium
Lineage: Bacteria
Description: partial 16S ribosomal RNA
Rfam family: Bacterial small subunit ribosomal RNA
Source: RNAcentral